AGAGUGAACGCUGGCGGUAGGCCUAACACAUGCAAGUCGAACGGCAGCACGGUAAGAGCUUGCUCUUAUGGGUGGCGAGUGGCGGACGGGUGAGGAAUACAUCGGAAUCUACCUUUUGGUGGGGGAUAACGUAGGGAAACUUACGCUAAUGCCGCAUACGCCCUUCGGGGGAAAGCCGGGACCAGCAAUGGCCUGGUGCUGAUAGAUGAGCCGAUGUCGGAUUAGCUAGUUGGUGAGGUAAUGGCUCACCAAGGCGACGAUCCGGUAGCUGGUCUGAGAGGAUGAUCAGCCACACUGGAACUGACGACACGGUCCAAGACUCCU
RNAcentral lists this ribosomal RNA (324 nucleotides) under uncultured soil bacterium. Its description in RNAcentral is "bacterial SSU rRNA". It matches the Rfam family "Bacterial small subunit ribosomal RNA", at positions 26 to 340 of the family's 1533-position model. The record is from RNAcentral.